AGAGUUUGAUCCUGGCUCAGGACGAACGCUGGCGGCGUGCUUAACACAUGCAAGUCGAACGAGAGCGUAGAGAAAGCUUGCUUUUUCUACAAUCUAGUGGCAAACGGGUGAGUAACGCGUAAACAACCUGCCCUACGGAUGGGGACAACAGCUGGAAACGGCUGCUAAUACCGAAUACGUUCCGAAAGUCGCAUGACUGUCGGAAGAAAGGAUGGCCUCUAUUUAUAAGCUAUCGCCGGAGGAGGGGUUUGCGUCUGAUUAGCUAGUUGGAGGGGUAACGGCCCACCAAGGCGACGAUCAGUAGCCGGUCUGAGAGGAUGAACGGCCACAUUGGAACUGAGACACGGUCCAGACUCCUACGGGAGGCAGCAGUGGGGAAUCUUCCGCAAUGGGCGAAAGCCUGACGGAGCAACGCCGCGUGAGUGAAGACGGCCUUCGGGUUGUAAAGCUCUGUUAUACGGGACGAAUAGUCUUGUGGUUAAUACCCAUGAGAAGUGACGGUACCGUAAGAGAAAGCCACGGCUAACUACGUGCCAGCAGCCGCGGUAAUACGUAGGUGGCAAGCGUUGUCCGGAAUUAUUGGGCGUAAAGGGCGCGCAGGCGGCUUCUUAAGUCUGUCUUAAAAGUGCGGGGCUUAACCCCGUGAUGGGAUGGAAACUGGGAAGCUCAGAGUAUCGGAGAGGAAAGCGGAAUUCCUAGUGUAGCGGUGAAAUGCGUAGAUAUUAGGAGGAACACCAGUGGCGAAAGCGGCUUUCUGGACGAAAACUGACGCUGAGGCGCGAAAGCCAGGGGAGCGAACGGGAUUAGAUACCCCGGUAGUCCUGGCCGUAAACGAUGGGUACUAGGUGUAGGAGGUAUCGACCCCUUCUGUGCCGGAGUUAACGCAAUAAGUACCCCGCCUGGGGAGUACG
RNAcentral lists this ribosomal RNA (911 nucleotides) under metagenome. RNAcentral's name for it is "bacterial SSU rRNA". It matches the Rfam family "Bacterial small subunit ribosomal RNA", at positions 8 to 884 of the family's 1533-position model. The record is from RNAcentral.